GUCACUCAUCAAGAUUCGGUGGUGUACAAACUGUACAUGAUUAGUUCAAGUGUCAAGAUCAAAUAUCACCAUGGAAUGUUGUAGAAUAAAUCAGGCUUCGAUGUUCUGCUCCUGAGGUCUGCUUGUGAUAUGGAUUUUAUAGGAAUCACAUACUCUAUUAUGUUCCAUCUUUAAGAGAUAUCAGGUCUUAUAAAUAUUCUCUUUUGGUAAAAAUCACCAUGCAGUCCUAGACAUGAUUUGCAUUUCAGGUGAUGAGGAAGUUACCGUUAUUGCUUAGUAAUAAGCAUGUAGGUCAUCCGUUCGGCCACAUGAGAAUGGUACCACCCAGUGGAUGCAACUUCCUCUGUUCAGAUAUCAGGCUAUCACCAAAAGAUUCAACAAAGAUUCUUCUUUUGCUUGAUAAUUGUGGCCGGAUGCAACUUCAGAACUACACAACGCAGCAGUAGAGUGAAGGAUGUCACCUGUGCCAAGAAUUUAGUUGCUCCAUGGUUGCUUAUACGCGGAUAUUACGUGACCAGUGACUGAUCAUUUUGUUGAUCAAUCUCCUUGGAAGCAAAAGGCUGGAAUUGGCAAGAAAAUGUGGUUGGUUCAGGUAGUCUUCUGACACUGCAACAGCCACACGGUUAUGAACUGCAGGGUGCACACUCGGCCUAGGCUGCGGUGAUCGAAACCAUCUUGAGCUUACACUGGUCAACUCAUCGGUCAGAAUUUGCCGCGGCGAUUAUCUAAUCAGGCUAACCCUUUUUGCCUUCACAUGGUGUGUGGUAUACAUACUAUGAUGCACUUUUCUGUUUGUAUGGUAUCUUCCCCGGGCGGAAUUGUGGCAAGGCAAGUACUUGGAGUUUUUGGUUGGCCCCUUUGCCAGCACAUGUGGAAGCUACUCGCAAAAUGGCCAACGCUUCCUUGACAACCAGAGAAGUCCUGCUUGAAGUUGGCCAAUGGUCUUCAGCGUCAGUACCGGAGAAAUUACCUACCAUGCCUCUCCAUCUUUGAAGAAUUCCAGACCUUCCAUCACCGGUGCACUUAACUAACAAUGGUCAACGCGCGGCCGCCCUAGUAUCCCUUGCCGGAUGUCUGCCGUCUGCUAGCCGGCGCACUGUACCGAAGAAAUAUAGGAAUGAAAUUACAAGAGCAUUAAUUCUGAAUCCCCACACCCCCAAGUGUACCAGCCCAUGAUGGCCCGCCCAUGUAGACGA
Long non-coding RNA from Triticum dicoccoides, 1196 nucleotides. RefSeq lists it as uncharacterized. Lineage: Eukaryota; Viridiplantae; Streptophyta; Magnoliopsida; Poales; Poaceae. The record is from RefSeq and is a predicted model, not a curated record. The transcript is spliced from 8 exons.